RNAcentral lists this ribosomal RNA (470 nucleotides) under uncultured bacterium. Its description in RNAcentral is "SSU rRNA". It matches the Rfam family "Bacterial small subunit ribosomal RNA", at positions 26 to 518 of the family's 1533-position model. The record is from RNAcentral.
AGGACGAACGCUGGCGGCGUGCUUAACACAUGCAAGUCGAACGCUGAAGCCUCUUCGGGGGUGGAUGAGUGGCGAACGGGUGAGUAACACGUGAGCAACCUGCCCUUGGCUCGGGGGAUAACCUUCGGAAACGGGGGCUAAUACCUGAUGUGACACAUGUCUGCAUGGGUGUGUGUGGAAAGUUUUUCGGCCAGGGAUGGGCUCGCGGCCUAUCAGCUUGUUGGUGGGGUGAUGGCUCACCAAGGCGACGACGGGUAGCCGGCCUGAGAGGACGAUCAGCCACACUGGGACUGAGACACGGCCCAGACUCCUACGGGAGGCAGCAGUGGGGAAUCUUGCGCAAUGGGCGAAAGCCUGACGCAGCAACGCCGCGUGGGGGAUGAAGGCCCUCGGGUCGUAACCCCUUUCAGCAGGGACGAAUUGACGGUACCUGCAGAAGACGCCCCGGCCACUACGUCGCCAGCAGCCGC